Molecule: ribosomal RNA, 202 nt
Filed under: uncultured bacterium
Lineage: Bacteria
Description: partial 16S ribosomal RNA
Rfam family: Bacterial small subunit ribosomal RNA
Source: RNAcentral
ACGCUCGACACCUACUGGAGGCAGCAGUGGGGAAUAUUGGACAAUGGAGGAAACUCUGAUCCAGUGACGCCGCGUGAAGGAAGAAGGUCUUCGGAUUGUAAACUUAUUUUGUCAGGGAAGAAAAAAUGACUGUACCUGAAGAAAAAGCACCGGCUAACUACGUGCCAACAGCCGCGGUAAGUCUGAGCGGGCGUGGCAAGGC